Molecule: ribosomal RNA, 253 nt
Filed under: uncultured bacterium
Lineage: Bacteria
Description: partial 16S ribosomal RNA
Rfam family: Bacterial small subunit ribosomal RNA
Source: RNAcentral
UACGUAGGAGGCGAGCGUUGUCCGGAGUUACUGGGCGUAAAGCGCACGCAGGCGGUCUUGUCAGUCUAUAGGGACAGGGCACAGCUUAACUGUGUCAGGCUUAUGGAUACUGCACGACUUGAGGGCUCAAGAGGGAUGGGGAAUUCCGGGUGGAGUGGUGAAAUGCGUAGAUAUCAGGAGGAACACCGGUGGCGAAGGCGGGUCUCUGGGCCGAUACUGACGCUGAGGAGCGAAAGCGUGGGGAGCGAACAGG